RNAcentral lists this ribosomal RNA (207 nucleotides) under uncultured bacterium. RNAcentral's name for it is "partial 16S ribosomal RNA". It matches the Rfam family "Bacterial small subunit ribosomal RNA", at positions 568 to 774 of the family's 1533-position model. The record is from RNAcentral.
CGCGUAGGCGGCCGAGCAAGUCGGACGUGAAAUACCCCGGCUCAACUGGGGAAUUGCAUCCGAAACUGCUCGGCUUGAGUCCUGGAGAGGGUAGUGGAAUUCCCAGUGUAGCGGUGAAAUGCGUAGAUACUGGGAGGAACACCGGUGGCGAAGGCGGCUACCUGGACAGGUACUGACGCUGAGGCGCGAAAGCUAGGGGAGCAAACA